This 828-nucleotide long non-coding RNA is filed under the name Pan troglodytes (chimpanzee). RNAcentral describes it as "long non-coding RNA NONPTRT017622". Lineage: Eukaryota; Metazoa; Chordata; Mammalia; Primates; Hominidae. The record is from RNAcentral.
UGAGAACAGAGGCAGAGCCUCAGAGGAGGACAGCUGCACAUCUGGGAUCCGGGGAGAGGAGGGCAUGGCCAAAAGGGAGAGAGAGGGUGGUCCGUGGAAGUGUGUGUGGGUGUUGGGUGGACCCCCAGAAUGAGGGGGGCUGAGGGCAGAUUCCUAGAGCAGAGACCAGGGUGUGCUAAGUCUAAGCAGAAUGGGCAGGGAUGCCUCCAGCUGGGCUUUGAGGGUGUCAGUCUUCCCUCAAAUAGGAAAGAUGAGGGGCAGGGGAGGAUAUUAGGGACAAGCCUCUGCUCAGCCCUGGGUCCUCUUGGAACCGGGCUUGGAGCCGGAGGUGGGGAGGGUGCCCAAGCUGAGCUCCUGGAUUCCCAUCUGCCGAACUGCACCCAGAACCAGGAGUGGGGUGUGGGCCCAUCCUCUGGCCAGGAUCCUGGGCUCCCUUGGCCACAAAGCAGGACAGGGGACCAGAGAUCCCCCAACUCAGGAGACAUGAAGCUGGCAGCUGGGCCGCUGGCCUAGAAAUGGCCUCAAAUGGAAGCUGCCACCCGAUCCUGGUGGAGGCUUUGGAGCUAGGCUAGAGAUCAGGACUCCGGGGUUCAGUGCGCACGUGCUGCCCCUGCACUAGGGCCGAAGCAAUGCGGGUGCUGGCGACCGACGCAAGGAGGUGACGCACAGGGGACUUAAGGAGCGGACCGCCGCGGGAGGACGCGCCCAGGUCAGGGGGACUCCCUCUGCGCCCCCUACGCUGGGUCUCCGGCCCACGCGUGGCCCGGCUGGUCUGCGGAGCUAGCGCCAGGGCCGCCAGAGGGCGCCCGGGGCGGAGGAUGGGACGGG